RNAcentral lists this ribosomal RNA (1051 nucleotides) under uncultured organism. Its description in RNAcentral is "bacterial SSU rRNA". It matches the Rfam family "Bacterial small subunit ribosomal RNA", at positions 407 to 1489 of the family's 1533-position model. The record is from RNAcentral.
GAAGAAGGCUUCGGGUCGUAAAGCUCUUUGUUAGGGGAAGAGAAAGGACGGUACCGUAAGAAGAAGCUUCGGCUAACUACGUGCCAGCAGCCCCGGUAAGACGUAGGACGCGAGCGUUAUCCGGAAUUACUGGGCGUAAAGGGCCAGCAGNCGGCUUGGUAAGUCGUGCGUGAAAGCCUCGUGCUCAACGCGAGGAAGCCGGACAAUACUGUCAAGCUAGAGGGCAUCAGAGGGGAGUGGAAUUCCCGGAGUAGCGGUAAAAUGCGCAGAUAUCGGGAGGAACACCGAUGGCGAAGGCAGCUCCCUGGGAUGCACCUGACGCUAAGAGGCGAAAGCUAGGGGAGCGAACAGGAUUAGAGACCCUGGUAGUCCUAGCUGUAAACGCUGGGUGCUAGGUGUGGGACGUAGAAGUUCCGUGCCGGAGCAAACGCGAUAAGCACCCCGCCUGGGAAUUACGGUCGCAAGGCUAAAACUCAAACGAAUUGACGGGGCCCCGCACAAGCAGCGGAGCGUGUGGUUCAAUUCGAUGCUACACGAAGAACCUUACCUGGGUUUGACAUGUACGUGGUACGAGGGCGAAAGCCCAAGGACCCUUCGGGGAGCGUACACAGGUGCUGCAUGGCUGUCGUCAGCUCGUGCCGUGAGGUGUCGGGUUAAGUCCCGUAACGAGCGCAACCCUUGCCCUUAGUUACAAGUGUCUAAGGGGACUGCCGGCGGGAAGCCGGAGGAAGGUGGGGAUGACGUCAAGUCAGCAUGGCCCUUAUGUCCAGGGCUACACACACGCUACAAUGGUCAGUACAAAGGGUAGCGAAGUCGCGAGGCGGAGCGAAUCUCAACAAAGCUGAUCGUAGUUCGGAUUGCAGGCUGCAACCCGCCUGCAUGAAGCUGGAGUUGCUAGUAACCGCGCGUCAGCCAUAGUGCGGUGAAUACGUACCCGGGGCUUGUACACACCGCCCGUCACGUCAUGGGAGUCGGUAACGCCUGAAGCCGGUAGUCUGGCCCGCGAGGGGGACGCUGUCGAAGGCGGGACUGGCAACUGGGACGAAGUCGU